Molecule: long non-coding RNA, 256 nt
Organism: Gossypium arboreum
Lineage: Eukaryota; Viridiplantae; Streptophyta; Magnoliopsida; Malvales; Malvaceae
Exons: 3
Source: RefSeq, a predicted model, not a curated record
AAGAAUUAAAUGGAUGAAAUAUGAAGUUUUAUUAAAAGAAAAAGGGAUGAAAAGAACAAAGUUUUGUCCAUCUUUGUUCAUCAUAGCUGAAAGUUAGAGAAGAGAAAGGAGAGGAGAAAGCUCUUGAGUAUUCGGUCAUUAGGAGGAGGAAAAUUGAAGGCGGUUCGUAUGUGGAUCUCGUCAGCAUAUCGUCGCAAAUAGGAAAUCCCCAACCAUAGUGGGCUUGGAGCUGUGAGGGAAUUCGGAGUGGCCACCG